CGAUACUUGGUGUGAAUUGCAGAAUUCAGUGAAUCAUCGAAUCUUUGAACGCACAUUGCGCCCGCCAGUAUUCUGGCGGGCAUGCCUGUUCGAGCGUCAUUUCAACCCUCAAGCUCAGCUUGGUGUUGGGACUCGCGGUAACCCGCGUUCCCCAAAUCGAUUGGCGGUCACGUCGAGCUUCCAUAGCGUAGUAAUCAUACACCUCGUUACUGGUAAUCGUCGCGGCCACGCCGUUAAACCCCAACUUCUGAAUGUUGACCUCGGAUCAGGUAGGAAUACCCGCUGAACUUAAGCAUAUCAAUAAGCGGAGGA
RNAcentral lists this ribosomal RNA (312 nucleotides) under Botryosphaeria sp. BAB-3876. RNAcentral's name for it is "eukaryotic LSU rRNA". The stretch from base 1 to 99 matches the Rfam family "5.8S ribosomal RNA", at positions 56 to 154 of the family's 154-position model. Lineage: Eukaryota; Fungi; Ascomycota; Dothideomycetes; Botryosphaeriales; Botryosphaeriaceae. The record is from RNAcentral.